GCUCCCGUGGCCCAAUUGGCAGAGGCAGGCGGCUUAAAACCGCCGUGUUGUGGGUUCGAGUCCCACCGGGGGCACCA
RNAcentral lists this transfer RNA (77 nucleotides) under Propionibacteriales bacterium. RNAcentral describes it as "tRNA-Leu". It matches the Rfam family "tRNA". Rfam says of the family: Transfer RNA (tRNA) molecules are approximately 80 nucleotides in length. Their secondary structure includes four short double-helical elements and three loops (D, anti-codon, and T loops). The record is from RNAcentral. Lineage: Bacteria; Bacillati; Actinomycetota; Actinomycetes; Propionibacteriales.